Monodelphis domestica (gray short-tailed opossum) is the source of this 2370-nucleotide non-coding RNA. NCBI's taxonomy places the organism in Eukaryota, Metazoa, Chordata, Mammalia, Didelphimorphia, Didelphidae. The record is from RefSeq and is a predicted model, not a curated record.
UGCUUCACCUCCUGGGCAGAUCUUGGCUGGGUACGGCUGCACACUUGGAUGUCUGCAUAAUGCAAGCUGCUGUCCUCUGACUGAGGGCCUUGAUUCCCCUCUCCAGACCUGGGCAAUUCCGACACCAGCUCAUAGUAUUUUGGAUUAUUGAAGGCAAUUUCAAAGGCUCUCACCUGAGUCUUUUCUUCUUGAAGAUAAACAUCCCAAGUUCCUUCAAGUGAACUUCUUUUCAUGUGAUUUCAAGUCUACUAACCAUCCUAGUCAUAACUCUUCCAAGUCUCAAGAGAACUACUGGAUCUCAGAACAUUCCUUGCUCUCCAGGGACACUUCGCACCUUUGCCUCUAUCGCUUUACUCGGCUGUUGUUAUUCAGUUGUGUCCAACUUUCCUGUGAAACCCUUUGGAUUACAACUCACCAGUACUGUCUACAGAGUUUUGUUGGCAAAGAUCCUGGUGUGGUUUUCCAUUUCCUUCUCCAGUGGAUAAAGGAAUAAAGAAAUGGAGGAAUUCCAUGUGAACCAGAAUGACCUCCAGGAAUUGACACAGAGCGAAAGGUGCAGAACCAGGAGAAUAUUGUACACAGACUGAUACAGUAUGGCACAAUCGAAUGUAAUGGACUUUUCUACCAGCAGCAAUGCAAUGAUUCAGGACAAUCCAGAGGAAUUUAGGAGAAAAAAAUGCUAUCCACAUCCAGAGAAAGAACUAUGGAACCAAAAAUGCACUAGAAAAAUAUGUGAUCAACCACACAAUGUGAUAAGAAUAUAAUAAGGGUUAUUAUAUUAAAGAAUUGCUCUACUGCAACUAUGAAUAACAAGGAAAUAGAUUUUGAACAAUAAUACAUAUAUAACUUAGUGGAACUGUUUGUUGGUUUAGGAGGUGGAGGAGAAAGCACGGUGGAGGAUCAUGAGUUAUGUAACCAUGGAAAAAUAUUCUAAAUAAAAUUUUAAAAUAUUAUCACACAUAAUUGAUUAAAUAUCUUUUUAAAAAAAGAAAAGAAAGAAACAACUUUCUCGACCCUACUCCUAUCCUCUCUAGCCAUCAGUUUAUAUCUCUCCUCCCCUUCUCAGUUAAAUUCCCUGAAAAAAGCAGGAAAUCCCUCUAUUUCCUCUUCAAUCUCUUCUAAACUCUUUACAGUCUAGCUUCCAACCUCCAUUCACCUGAAACUGCACUUUCCAAAUUACCAGUAAUUGCUAAAUUGAAUCUUAAUUCUCAUCCUUCGUAUCUCUUGUGGCAUUUGACACUGUUGGCUACCCUUCUCUUCCUGUAUACUCCCUCCUCUCUGCAGUUAUGCUACUGCUCUUUUUUGCUUCUCUUCUCUCUAUGACCACUCAUCCUCAGUCUACUUGGCUGAAUUUUCAUCCAUGUCACACCUACUAACUAUAAUCUAUUUUUUCUAAGGCUCUGUGCUGGAUUCUUCUCUAUUCUUUCUAUAUACUUUCAUUUGUUUCUCUCCUCAGUUCUAUUGGGUUCAGUUCUCUUCUCAAUACAGCUAUUUCCUAGCUCUGUCUCUUCAAUCUAGCCUCUGUCCUGAGCUCCAUUCCUUUAUAACCAACUGCUGUUUGCACCUUUUAAAAUGGAUGUUCUGUGGUAAUCUCAAAUAGAACUCAUUAUCUUUCCUCCAAAAGUCCAUUCUUCUCUCUGACUUGCUUAUAACUGUCAACAGCACACCAGAAGUCACAGAGCUGAGCAACCAGGGGGCCUCUUUGCCUCUUUACUUUCACUAACUACACAAUCAGUUGCCAAAUCUUGUUGAUUCUGCCUCCACUUUUCUCGGUCUGUUCCCCUAUCGAUAUUCUCACAACCAGCACCCUAGCAUGGAUCCUCAUUACCACUAGCCUCCUCAAUGAUCUGGGGAAUCUUCUCUCCACACAGCUACUACUGAUAUUCCUAAAGAUACGUCUGACUAUCCCUCCCUUACUCAAAAAACUCCAGUGGUUUCCUAUUACCUGGAGGAUUAACUACAAACUCUUCUGAAUGGCUUUAAAAGCCCUUUACAACCUGGCUCCUUCCUAGCUUUCCAGUCUUUUAACAUUCCAUGAAUUCUAUAGUUCAGCCACACCAGUCUACUUGCCGUCCCUCAAACAUGCUGCUCUCGCUCCAUCUCUUUGCCUUUGUAUUGGCUGCCCCUGUGCCUGCAAUGCUUUCUCUCUGAACCUCUGGCUCUUAGAAUCCAUUGCUUCCUUAAAACUUGGCUCAAGCACAACCUCCUUCAGGAGGCUUCCCUUGGUUCCCUCCACCCCCCCUGCCAAUACUCAUCUUCUGAGGCCACUGUGUGUUUAUCUUGUUGUAUUAAUUUAUUUUUUUAUUGUCUCCCCCAUGAGACUGUAAAUUCCUUAAAAUUAGGGAGUUUUUUCCCCUUGUAUCCCUAGUG